GAGAUUUCCCAUUCCGCAAGGAAGUAAGAUCCCUGAAAGAUGAUCAGGUUGAUAGGUCUGAGGUGGAAGCGUGGUGACACGUGGAGCUGACAGAUACUAAUAGAUCGAGGACUUAACCUAUAUU
RNAcentral lists this ribosomal RNA (124 nucleotides) under Bacillus pumilus. RNAcentral describes it as "partial 23S ribosomal RNA". It matches the Rfam family "Bacterial large subunit ribosomal RNA", at positions 2806 to 2925 of the family's 2925-position model. Lineage: Bacteria; Bacillati; Bacillota; Bacilli; Caryophanales; Bacillaceae. RNAcentral also lists the same sequence under 1 other name. The record is from RNAcentral.